Molecule: ribosomal RNA, 336 nt
Filed under: uncultured bacterium
Lineage: Bacteria
Description: bacterial SSU rRNA
Rfam family: Bacterial small subunit ribosomal RNA
Source: RNAcentral
CCUGGCUCAGGACGAACGCUGGCGGCGUGCCUAAUACAUGCAAGUCGAACGCUGAAUGAAGGAGCUUGCUCUUUCCGGAUGAGUUGCGAACGGGUGAGGAACGCGUAGGUAACCUGCCUGGUAGCGGGGGAUAACUAUUGGAAACGAUAGCUAAUACCGCAUAACAGUAGAUAUCGCAUGAUCACUCCUUGAAAGGUGCAAUUGCACCACUACCAGAUGGACCUGCGUUGUAUUAGCUAGUUGGUGGGGUAACGGCUCACCAAGGCGACGAUACAUAGCUGACCUGAGAGGGUGAUCGGCCACACUGGGACUGAGACACGGCCCAGACUCCUACGG